UGCGGAAUCUUAGAUAAUGGAGGGAACUCUGAUCUAGCGACGCCGCAUGCAGGAAGAAGGUCUUCGGAUUGUAAACUGCUGUGGUAAGGGAAAAAUGCUAUGUAGAGUGGAAAGCUACAUAGAGGGAUGGUACCUUACUAGAAAGCCCCGGCUAACUACGUGCCAGCAGCCGCGGUAAUACGUAGGGGGCGAGCGUUACCCGGAAUCACUGGGCGUAAAGGGAGCGUAGGUGGCCUAACAUGUCGACUGUGAAAACCCGGAGCUCAACUCCGGACUUGCAGUUGAAACUGGUAGGCUUGAGGACGGUAGAGGAAGACGGAACUGCCAGUGUAGGGGUAAAAUCCUUAGAUAUUGGCAGGAACGCCGGUGACGAAGGUGGUUUUCUGGGCCGGUUCUGACACUGAUGCUCGAAAGCCAGGGGAGCGAACGG
This 430-nucleotide ribosomal RNA is filed under the name uncultured bacterium. RNAcentral's name for it is "bacterial SSU rRNA". It matches the Rfam family "Bacterial small subunit ribosomal RNA", at positions 355 to 775 of the family's 1533-position model. The record is from RNAcentral.